GUUUGACAUAGGUUUGGGAAACAGAUUAAUGAGGUAAAACUGAUUUAAAAGAGCUUGCUCAGAUAUGACGAUUUUACAUUGCAAAGAGUGGCGAAUGGGUGAGUAACACGUGGGAAACCUACCUCUUAGCAGGGGAUAACAUUUGGAAACAGAUGCUAAUACCGUAUAACAAUGACAACCGCAUGGUUGUUAUUUAAAAGAUGGUUCUGCUAUCACUAAGAGAUGGUCCCGCGGUGCAUUAGCUAGUUGGUAAGGUAAUGGCUUACCAAGGCGAUGAUGCAUAGCCGAGUUGAGAGACUGAUCGGCCACAAUGGGACUGAGACACGGCCCAUACUCCUACGGGAGGCAGCAGUAGGGAAUCUUCCACAAUGGGCGAAAGCCUGAUGGAGCAACGCCGCGUGUGUGAUGAAGGGUUUCGGCUCGUAAAACACUGUUGUAAGAGAAGAAUGACAUUGAGAGUAACUGUUCAAUGUGUGACGGUAUCUUACCAGAAAGGAACGGCUAAAUACGUGCCAGCAGCCGCGGUAAUACGUAUGUUCCAAGCGUUAUCCGGAUUUAUUGGGCGUAAAGCGAGCGCAGACGGUUAUUUAAGUCUGAAGUGAAAGCCCUCAGCUCAACUGAGGAAUUGCUUUGGAAACUGGAUGACUUGAGUGCAGUAGAGGAAAGUGGAACUCCAUGUGUAGCGGUGAAAUGCGUAGAUAUAUGGAAGAACACCAGUGGCGAAGGCGGCUUUCUGGACUGUAACUGACGUUGAGGCUCGAAAGUGUGGGUAGCAAACAGGAUUAAGAUACCCCUGGGUAGUCCCACACCGUAAACGAUGAGUGCUAGGUGUUUUGAGGGGUUUUCCGCCCUUAAGUGCGCGCACGCGUAACGCAGUAACGCACGUCCGCCUGGGGAAUUACGACCGCAAGGUUGAAACUCCAAAGGAAUUUGACGGCGACCCGCACAAGCGGUGGAGCAUGUGGUUUAAUUCGAAGCAACGCGAAGAACCUUACCAGGUCUUGACAUCCCUUGACAACUCCAGAGAUGGAGCGUUCCCUUCGGGGACAAGGUGACAGGUGGUGCAUGGUUGUCGUCAGCUCGUGUCGUGAGAUGUUGGGUUAAGUCCCGCAACGAGCGCAACCCUUAUUACUAGUUGCCAGCAUUCAGUUGGGCACUCUAGUGAGACUGCCGGUGACAAACCGGAGGAAGGUGGGGAUGACGUCAAAUCAUCAUGCCCCUUAUGACCUGGGCUACACACGUGCUACAAUGGCGUAUACAACGAGUUGCCAACCCGCGAGGGUGAGCUAAUCUCUUAAAGUACGUCUCAGUUCGGAUUGUAGGCUGCAACUCGCCUACAUGAAGUCGGAAUCGCUAGUAAUCGCGGAUCAGCAGGCCGAGGUGAAUACGUUCCCGGGUCUUGUACACUCCUAAAGGGGCACACCAUGAGAGUUUGUAUAUUGCAAAAGCUCGUGGGGUUUCUAAAGUGGGGAAAAGCGCAAU
Molecule: ribosomal RNA, 1482 nt
Filed under: Weissella confusa
Lineage: Bacteria; Bacillati; Bacillota; Bacilli; Lactobacillales; Lactobacillaceae
Description: bacterial SSU rRNA
Rfam family: Bacterial small subunit ribosomal RNA
Source: RNAcentral